RNAcentral lists this ribosomal RNA (380 nucleotides) under uncultured eukaryote. Its description in RNAcentral is "partial 18S ribosomal RNA". It matches the Rfam family "Eukaryotic small subunit ribosomal RNA", at positions 592 to 976 of the family's 1831-position model. The record is from RNAcentral.
CAAUAGCGUAUAUUAAAGUUGUUGCAGUUAAAAAGCUCGUAGUUGGAUUUGUGGCUGUCGCGGGCGGCCUAUCACUUAGUGUUAGUGCUUGCCUGUGUCGCCAUCCUUGGGUGGAGCCCGUGUGGCAUUAGGUUGUCGUGCGGGGGAUGCCCAUCGUUUACUGUGAGAAAAUUAGAGUGUUCAAAGCAGGCUUAUGCCGUUGAAUAUGUUAGCAUGGAAUAAUAAGAUAGGACCUCGGUACUAUUUUGUUGGUUUGCGCACCGAGGUAAUGAUUAAUAGGGACAGUUGGGGGUAUUCGUAUUUCAUUGUCAGAGGUGAAAUUCUUGGAUUUCUGAAAGACGAACUACUGCGAAAGCAUUUACCAAGGAUGUUUUCAUUAA